GUCAAUUAUCCCUUAUUUUUAGGAAUUAUAAACCAGUUAUAUAAUCAAUUUCCAGAAAUAAAAGAAGGAAAAACAUUUUUUCCAUGUUACUAUCCCACUGUAUUUAAUCUCAGCUUCCUUUAAUUGUAAAAAACCCUAAAAGGGUUCUUGUAAGAACCAAUAGCCGCCGCCGGAUUUGAUCUCAACCGUUAACUCUUUCUCUCUAUAUUUCACGUUUCUUUUCACUCUUUUCUUUGAUCUGAGCUUCAAAAACAAAAUUUCCUCCUUUCCGAACUAUCCUACUUUAUUUUUAAUUAUUGUUGUUUCUGGUUUUACUUGGAAAACAUGGUGUUCUUAUCUGUUUUUUGUUGAUUAAUUUUAUGUUGCCAAGCUUGAAGAAAUUUUAAUUUUUGGGUGCUUUUGAUUUCUUAGUUCCGAUACAUUGGGGAAUGAGUUCUUUUUGCUAUUUAUGAGUUCAAGGAAUUUGAGAAUGCUAUCUGAAUUGGGUAGGAGACCAAUGUUAGGAAGUGGCGAAGGAUCAUUUGGGGAUGAUUUGGAGGCGGAGAUGGGGCUAUUGCUCCGUGAACAGCGUAGUAAGCAAGACGCUGAUGAUCUCGAACGAGAGCUGAAUUUGUAUAGAAGUGGCUCUGCACCUCCUACCGUGGAGGGUUCACUGAGUGCAGUCGGCGGGUUGUUUGGGGGUGGAGCCACUAUCGCUGCUGGUACUGCUGCUGGUACUGGGGCUACUGCUUUUUCAGCUUUUGCUGGAGCUAAAAAUGGAAAUGGUUUUGCAUCUGAGGAAGAGCUUAGGUCUGAUCCAGCUUAUCAUUCAUACUAUUACUCAAAUGUGAAUCUCAACCCGAGGCUCCCACCUCCUUUGCUUUCCAAGGAGGAUUGGAAGUUUGCACAAAGGUUGAAAGGAGGGAGUUCAGUGAUAGGGGGGAUUGGAGAUAGGAGGAAAGUGAAUAGGGCUGAUAAUGGUAGCGGUAGGUCGCUGUUUUCGAUGCCACCAGGGUUUGAUUCCAGGAAACUAGAGAAUGAAAUAGAAGCAGAGAAAGUGCAUAACUCAGCAAACUGGGGUGGUGAUGGACUGAUUGGUUUGUCUGGUAUAGGACUUGGAAGCAAACAGAAAAGCCUCGCUGAAAAUUUUCAGGCUGAUUUGGGACACUCUACUCCUGUCACAAGAAUACCGUCUCGUCCUUCUAGUCGUAAUGCUUUUGAUGAGAACUGCGAGAAUUUUGGUUCUGCUGAAUCUGAUCUGGCUCAUUUGCGCCAUGAACUAGCUUCUGUGGAUGCUUUAAGGUCAAGUGUGAGUGUUCAAGGUUCAUCUGCAGUCCAUAUCACCGGGCCACCUUCUUCUUACACUUAUGCUGCUGCAGUAGGCACUUCCUUGUCUAGGAGUACAACUCCUGAUCCCCAACUUGUUGCAAGGGCUCCUAGUCCUUGUUUGACACCAAUUGGAGGAGGCAGAGUCGGUAACUCAGACAAAAGAAACUUAAAUAGUCCAAGCACGUUUGGUGGUGUCUCAUCUGGUGUCAGUGAGUCUGCAGAUCUGGUUGUUGCUUUGUCAGGCAUGACCCUGUCAUCAAAUGGUGCACCAGAUGAAGAUAAUAGGUUACCAUCCCAGACUGAACAAGAUGCUGAAAAUAGCCAAAAUUAUUUGUUCAGUUUGCAAGAUGGUCAGAAUUAUAUCAAACAGCAGGCAUACUUGAAGAAGUCUGAAUCUGGCCAUUUAGAUAUGCCUUUGGCUAAGAAUAAUAGGCGAGCUGAGUUCCAGAAAUCUGCUGCCUCCUCAAACAAUUCUUACUUGAAAGGAUCUCCUACUUCCACUCUCAAUGGCGGAGGCAGCUUACCUGCUCAGUAUCAGCAUGGUGAUGGUGCAAAGUCAUCAUUUCCAAACUAUGGAAUAAGUGGUUUCUCUUUAAAUCCUGGUUUAGCCUCUAUGAUGGCUAGCCAACUUGGGACUGGUAAUCUGCCAGCUGGAUCAACUAUACCAGUCCCUGGGAUGGACUCAAGAGUGUUUGGGGGAGAUUUGGGUUCUGGACAGAACAUUUCAAGUGCUGCAUCUGAGUCGCUUAAUCUGGGGAGAAUUGGAAGCCAAAUAGCUGGGAAUGCUCUGCAGGCACCUUUUGUUGAUCCUAUGUAUCUUCAGUAUUUGAGGACAUCUGAUUAUCCUGCAGCACAGCUUCCAGCUUUUAAUGAUCCCUGUAUGGAUAGGAACUUCCUAGGUGAUUCCUACAUGAACUUGCUUGAGCUGCAGAAGGCAUACUUCGGGUCUCUGCUAUCACCACAGAAAUCUCAGUAUGGUGUUCCAUUGGGAACAAAAUCUGGUGGUUCUAAUAUUCAUGGUUUUUAUGGAAAUUCCACCUUUGGAGCUGGCAUGUCAUAUCCUGGAAGUCCCUUAGCAAAUACGUUUAUUCCAAACUCUCCAGUUGGACUUGGUAGUCCUAUCAGACACACUGACCUGAAUAUGCGAUUUCCUUCUGGGACGAGGAAUCUUCCUGGGGGUGUCACGGGAACCUGGCAUUUGGAUGCAGGAUAUAACCUGGAUGAGAGCUUUGCCUCCUCCCUACUUGAAGAGUUUAAGAGCAAUAAAACAAAGUGUUUUGAGCUUUCAGAAAUUUCUGGUCAUGUUGUUGAGUUCAGUGCGGAUCAGUAUGGAAGCCGUUUUAUUCAGCAAAAACUUGAAACUGCUACACCUGAAGAGAAAAAUAUGGUUUAUGAGGAAAUCAUGCCUCAAGCUCUUGCUUUGAUGACUGAUGUGUUUGGUAAUUAUGUCAUUCAAAAGUUUUUUGAGCAUGGACUUCCAGCUCAGAGAAGAGAACUUGCUUGCAAGCUUUUAGGUCAUGUUUUAUCACUCAGUCUUCAAAUGUAUGGUUGCCGAGUGAUUCAGAAGGCCAUAGAGGUUGUUGAUCUGGAUCAGAAGAUUAACAUGGUGCAUGAGCUUGAUGGUAGUGUUAUACGUUGUGUACGAGACCAGAACGGCAACCAUGUCAUCCAGAAAUGUAUCGAAUGUGUUCCUGAGGAAAACAUUCAAUUUAUAGUCUCAACAUUUUUUGAUCAAGUUGUGACACUUUCCACUCAUCCUUAUGGGUGCCGAGUUAUACAGAGAAUAUUGGAGCACUGCGAGGACCAAAAGACACAGAGUAAGGUUAUGGAUGAGAUUUUAAGAUCUGUUAGCCUGUUGGCCCAAGACCAGUAUGGCAAUUACGUUGUCCAGCAUGUGCUGGAGCAUGGAAAACCUCAUGAACGGUCAAUUAUCAUUAAGGAGCUAGCUGGAAAGAUUGUCCAGAUGAGUCAGCAGAAGUUUGCAUCUAAUGUUGUCGAGAAGUGCUUAACUUUUGGUGGCCCUGCUGAACGUCAGUUAUUGGUGAAUGAAAUGCUUGGUUCUACUGAUGAGAAUGAGCCUCUUCAGGCAAUGAUGAAGGAUCAGUUUGCAAACUACGUUGUACAGAAAGUACUGGAGACUUGUGAUGACCAGCAACGCGAGCUGAUUCUUUCUCGAAUUAAGGUCCAUUUAAACGCAUUGAAGAAGUACACAUAUGGGAAGCAUAUUGUUGCGCGUGUAGAGAAACUUGUUGCUGCUGGAGAGAGGAGAAUUGCUGCUCAGUCUGUGCACCCUUCUUAAAUCGGUGUAGGAAAGAAACAUGUUUGUACAGCUAACAGAAUCUAUGUGAAGCUUUCCCUUCUUCCCCCCGUAUGUAGGGCCAUGGUUCUUCUACCUAUCUUCUUAGACAGGAGGUUGUGUUUAUCCAGUUAUACAGCUUGGUGCCAAACAAGGAUAGCGGAAGGAGCACAUGUUGAUCCGCCGCUUUUGCUGGAGUAGAAAUGCCACAUGAGGAAUUUCUGCCAGUGGUCACUCCAACCUCCAACUUGUGUUUCUACCCAAACUUUUAGCAAUGAAGAAUUUAACAAAUCGAGCUUGGGUACUUUAUACCAUUGUUUUAUGUAGUUUUGUUGGUUUGAGAUUUCAGCUACUUUAUUCCCGAGAUGAUAGUAUGUGUACCUUUGGACUUAUCCACAGUUCAAAGUUUCUUGGUUCAUUGGAGUGUCUGCACAUCCUCAGGCAUUUUAUAUGGUCCCCUCCACACAUAUGGAUGAUGGAUACUCGAUAUCCUGAAUAACUUUAUUCUACCUUUUUUAUGGGUAUGAUUGAGAAUCCCCAAGUUUCAUAUGGAA
RNA transcript from Gossypium arboreum, 4158 nucleotides. It is a transcript of the gene named pumilio homolog 2-like, with no coding region annotated. NCBI's taxonomy places the organism in Eukaryota, Viridiplantae, Streptophyta, Magnoliopsida, Malvales, Malvaceae. The transcript is spliced from 11 exons. The record is from RefSeq and is a predicted model, not a curated record.